This 91-nucleotide transfer RNA is filed under the name Leucobacter exalbidus. RNAcentral's name for it is "tRNA-Ser". It matches the Rfam family "tRNA". From Rfam's summary of the family: Transfer RNA (tRNA) molecules are approximately 80 nucleotides in length. Lineage: Bacteria; Bacillati; Actinomycetota; Actinomycetes; Micrococcales; Microbacteriaceae. The record is from RNAcentral.
GGAGGGUUGUCCGAGCGGCCGAAGGAACUUGUCUUGAAAACAAGCAUGUAGUGAUCCUGCAUCAGGAGUUCAAAUCUCCUACCCUCCGCCA